UUAUCUUUCUGUGGGCCUUUUGAAGCUUCCAAAAUUUAAUAAUUUUAACUAUUGGCCUUACUACCUUUUAAAACAACAAGAAAGGGUUAAGUACUAUGAACAUUCUGUCAACAUUGUAAGCAACUAAAUUAUGUUACUUCAUGUAAGAGGUGUUUUUUAAUAUGUGACUUUUUCCCUCUUAAAUUAGAGAUGUGAAAGCUGGGAAUAUCCUCCUUGGAGAAGAUGGAUCAGUUCAGAUUGCAGACUUCGGAGUUAGUGCUUUUUUGGCAACUGGUGGUGAUAUGACGCGAAACAAAGUGAGAAAGACCUUUGUUGGCACUCCUUGCUGGAUGGCCCCUGAGGUGAUGGAGCAGGUCUGAGGUUAUGAUUUCAAAGCUGAUAUCUGGAGUUUUGGAAUCACAGCCAUUGAACUGGCCACGGGGGCAGCUCCUUAUCAUAAGUACCCACCAAUGAAGGUGAGGCGUGCGUUCACAGUACCUGCCCAUCUCAACUCACCU
Ochotona curzoniae (black-lipped pika) is the source of this 497-nucleotide long non-coding RNA. RefSeq lists it as uncharacterized. NCBI's taxonomy places the organism in Eukaryota, Metazoa, Chordata, Mammalia, Lagomorpha, Ochotonidae. The transcript is spliced from 3 exons. The record is from RefSeq and is a predicted model, not a curated record.